CCUACGGGAGGCAGCAGUGGGGAAUAUUGCACAAUGGGCGAAAGCCUGAUGCAGCGACGCCGCGUGAGGGAUGACGGCCUUCGGGUUGUAAACCUCUUUCAGCAGGGAAGAAGCUUUAUUGUGACGGUACCUGCAGAAGAAGCACCGGCUAACUACGUGCCAGCAGCCGCGGUAAUACGUAGGGCGCAAGCGUUAUCCGGAAUUAUUGGGCGUAAAGAGCGUGUAGGCGGCUUGGUAAGUCUGCUGUGAAACCUUGGGGCUCAACCCCAAGCGUGCAGUGGAUACUGUCAAGCUAGAGGAUGGUAGAGGCCAGUGGGAUUCCCAGUGUAGCGGUGAAAUGCGCAGAUAUCAGGAGGAACACCGAUGGCGAAGGCAGGUCUCUGGGCUGUUACUGACGCUGAGGAGCGAAAGCAUGGGGAGCGAACAGGAUUAGAUACCCUGGUAGUCCAUGCCGUAAACGUUGGGCACUAGGUGUGGGGAACAUUCCACGUUUUCCGCGCCGUAGCUAACGCAUUAAGUGCCCCGCCUGGGGAGUACGGCCGCAAGGCUAAAACUCAAAUGAAUUGACGGGG
Molecule: ribosomal RNA, 572 nt
Filed under: uncultured Nesterenkonia sp.
Lineage: Bacteria; Bacillati; Actinomycetota; Actinomycetes; Micrococcales; Micrococcaceae
Description: bacterial SSU rRNA
Rfam family: Bacterial small subunit ribosomal RNA
Source: RNAcentral